UCAGAUCACGUAAUUUUUUAAUAGUCGAACAGACUACCUUCUUUUAGCUCCUUCACCAAAAUAAAAAUUAAUUCAACAUCGAGGUCACAAACUUAAUUAUUAAUAAGAACUUGUUAAUUAAAUUAUGCUGUUAUCCCUAGAGUAACUUAAUUCUAUAUUAUUUAAAAUCCUUUAAAAAUUUUUAUCUUCAAACGUUACCCCAACCAAAAAUUUUUCAAUCACAAGCUUCUAGGGUCUUCUCGUCCCAAAGUUUUAUAAAAGCAUUUUUACUUUUAGUUUAAAUUCAAGAUAAUCAAAUAAAACCAUCUCCUUAGUAUAAACCCUUCAUUCCAGCUUUCAAUUAAAAAA
This 348-nucleotide ribosomal RNA is filed under the name Mischonyx sulinus. Its description in RNAcentral is "partial large subunit ribosomal RNA". Lineage: Eukaryota; Metazoa; Arthropoda; Arachnida; Opiliones; Gonyleptidae. The record is from RNAcentral.